This is a long non-coding RNA of Syngnathus acus (greater pipefish), 191 nucleotides long. RefSeq lists it as uncharacterized. The transcript has 3 exons. The record is from RefSeq and is a predicted model, not a curated record. NCBI's taxonomy places the organism in Eukaryota, Metazoa, Chordata, Actinopteri, Syngnathiformes, Syngnathidae.
GUCUAGAGCAUUGUUUUACAGGGACACGGCAUCCAGGAAUUGGAUAUCAACACCGUGCUGUCACAGUCAGUGAUGCCAACCCUUUCCGCCCUGGACUUGCAGAAGGUACCUGUGAUCAGCUCUUCUGGACAAAUCUCAAUGUGACUGUUAAAGGACGAACAUUGCCGCAGGUGGCCUACACAGAGAGGCCA